RNAcentral lists this ribosomal RNA (405 nucleotides) under uncultured bacterium. RNAcentral's name for it is "bacterial SSU rRNA". It matches the Rfam family "Bacterial small subunit ribosomal RNA", at positions 355 to 776 of the family's 1533-position model. The record is from RNAcentral.
UGGGGAAUAUUGCACAAUGGGGGAAACCCUGAUGCCGCGACGCCGCGUGAGCGAAGAAGUAUCCCGGUAUGUAAAGCUCUAUCAGCAGGGAAGAAGAAUGACGGUACCUGAGUAAGAAGCACCGGCUAAAUACGUGCAAGCAGCCGCGGUAAUACGUAUGGUGCAAGCGUUAUCCGGAUUUACUGGGUGUAAAGGGAGCGCAGGCGGUGCGGCAAGUCUGAUGUGAAAGCCCGGGGCUCAACCCCGGGACUGCAUUGGAAACUACCGUACUAGAGUGUCGGAGAGGUAAGUGGAAUUCCUAGUGUAGCGGUGAAAUGCGUAGAUAUUAGGAGGAACACCAGUGGCGAAGGCGGCUUACUGGACGAUGACUGACGCUGAGGCUCGAAAGCGUGGGGAGCAAACAGG